Molecule: long non-coding RNA, 1052 nt
Filed under: Monodelphis domestica (gray short-tailed opossum)
Lineage: Eukaryota; Metazoa; Chordata; Mammalia; Didelphimorphia; Didelphidae
Description: lncRNA (ENSMODG00000049327.1)
Source: RNAcentral
UUAAAAUUAAUAUACAAUAACUAUUAUAUUUUUAUAAAGUUUUAUUAAUAAUAACUAAAACAAAAGAACUGCCUAAACUCAGCCCAGUUGCAGGACAAAAAAAGAGUACAAAGGAGGAGUUAGUCACUUAAAUACAAUCACGCAAAAAGAGAGGACACAGGAAAAGGAAAAAUGAUUCUAGGUAAUACAGAAAAGAAUUUUGGGUAAUGUAAUAGGUUUUUUUGAGGUUCAAGAAUUUCUAACUAUACAUUCCCCCCCAAUGACCAUUUGGGGAGAUUCAUCUCCCCAAUUGAUGAUUUAACAUAAUCAACUUUUAAAUUACAAUAAUUUGGGGAUAAAAGGGGAAAAGAACAAAACCAAUAAUUACUUGGUUGACAAAACCAAUUUUGGGGCAGUGCCCUUUGGCAUAAAAGUAUACAUUCAAAACAAAGGCAUUUCAACCCUCCAUAGUUCAACUCACAUCCUGAAGUUCACUCUGGAUCUUCUGGUGCAGCAUGUGGUUUCUGCUGGCAUCUUCAUGGCACCUUCUGGAUUCUGGGAGGUAGCAAGUAUCUUAUCCUAAAAUUGCUCAAAUUCAAGUCAAAAUUCACAACAAUAACAUAGUCCCUCCCCCCCCCCCAGUAGUGGGAGAGACAGGUGGGGGCUUUGAAAUGCUAGGACCAGGAAACCAGUUGCUGUUGGGGACUGAUUUCUGGGUAGCACCUUCCUUCUUCUUCCAUUUGGCUGGACAACUUUUAUGGAGUCCUGACCUGACCAGAAGAGCUCUGAAGUUCAUCAUAUUGAGGGAGAAUUCUGCAGUGAACAUAGUAUGGAGGGAUCUCAAAUUGGAUGUAUUGUAGAAGUUGGGCAGGCCUAAAUGCCAAAGGUAUAUAGGAAGAUGAAUCUCCCCUCUGAAUCUCAGGAUUAUUCAAGUUAAGCACAAGGACCAUUGCAUCCAGUAACAGUAGUAAGAAAAGACAUUCCAAAACUUUGAGCUUCUUGAGAUAAGUAAUGCACUGCUCUUUCACAGAGUGAGCCAUGCUUUGUAACAAGUUUACUCCUUAAAUAAAAGA